RNAcentral lists this long non-coding RNA (1450 nucleotides) under Piliocolobus tephrosceles (Ugandan red Colobus). Its description in RNAcentral is "lncRNA (ENSPTEG00000003467.1)". Lineage: Eukaryota; Metazoa; Chordata; Mammalia; Primates; Cercopithecidae. The record is from RNAcentral.
AUAACAAUAAUGGUUAUAAUAACAAUAAUGGUUAUAAUAACAAUAAUGGUUAUAAUAACAAUAAUGGUUAUAAUAACAAUAUUGGUUAUAAUAACAAUAAUGGUUAUAAUAACAAUAAUGGUUAUAAUAACAAUAAUGGUUAUAAUAACAAUAUUGGUUAUAAUAAUAAUGGUAACAAUUUUGAAAUUACUAGAACACGGUUAAUUACAAAAACAGGUAGUACCGACGAUAAACUAAAAGUAAUAAACAAUAAUGUUAUAAUGCAAAAAAAACAUAAGAAGUUAGAUAAAAGCGAUGAUAUGGCUAUAAAAAAAAAAAAUAACAAAGAAACUAAGAAUGAAACUUAUUCUAUUCGAAAGUUGACGUCUUUAGUUGAUUCGAUAAAAAUAAAAAGGUAUAACACUCUAAAAGAUGAACAAGGGUUAAAAGCACAAAUAGAUAGAUUUCUUUUUAAUGAAAAUUUGAAAAAUAUAACAAAGAUUUCAUAUAAAAAAAAAUCUAAAUCUUUUAGUUCCUUUACUAAUAUAAAAAUAAAUAAUAAAAACGAAUUUAAAACCAAAAAUUGUAAUAUCAUUCUUCCAAAUUUUAAAAAAGAUGUACAAACAAGCAAUAUAGAGUUUAAUACUAGUGAAAAUAGUUGGAUAAAUAAAAGUAAUGAUAACAUAGACAACGACCGCAAUUGGUGCAAUAAAGAAAUUUCAUUUAUAAACAGUUUAUCUUCAAAUAAUUCAUAUAUUAAAAAAAUUAAAAGUAUAAAGAAAAAAAAUACUUAUAGUAUGAGUAAUUCAACUAUUUUACUUGAACAUGCUGAUGAGAAUAUUAAUUAUGGUGAAAAUGAUAGUAGUCGGGGGAAGACAAACUUGGAAAAAAAAAAAUCAAAGAAAGAACUUGAAAAAAAACAAUUAAGUAAACAACUAUCUAAAAUUAGCAACAUUUCCAAAUUAAAUAAAAAAGAAGAUGAAAUUGAAGAAGCAUGUGAGUAUAAACAAGAUAUGUCUGAUGCUAGUAAUAAGUUAAUAACUCAAAACGAUGAUAUGACAAAUGAGCAAAUAAGAAAAAUAGGAAAAUCCACAGAACUUGAAGGUUUAAAAUUUUCUGGAUAUAUACACAUGGUAUUAUCAACAACAAAUAUAAUAACAAAAAAGUGUAUUGUAUUGUAUAACAGUGAAACAAACGAAUUAGAGAUAAUAAAAAACAAUAAAAUAUUUGGAAUAAGCAUUGACAGUUUAAAAGCUCAAGAGUUACCUACUAAAAAAAAAGGCACGGGAAUUAUCAGAUUGGUUGUUUCAGAAGAACAAACAAAAGAAUUACUAAUUGAGUCUAACGAUUUAAAAGCCUUACAAUGUUUGGGAAAUGGGCUUAUAUGGAUACAUGACGAAAAAAGUAUUAUAAAUAAAACGAUAUAAAAAAAAAAAAAAAAAUAAUAAAAAAAAAAAAAAAAAAAAAAGCA